Molecule: ribosomal RNA, 915 nt
Filed under: uncultured bacterium
Lineage: Bacteria
Description: partial 16S ribosomal RNA
Source: RNAcentral
GCCGUCAAUUCCUUUGAGUUUUAACCUUGCGGCCGUACUCCCCAGGCGGUCGACUUAUCGCGUUAGCUGCGCCACUAAGAUCUCAAGGAUCCCAACGGCUAGUCGACAUCGUUUACGGCGUGGACUACCAGGGUAUCUAAUCCUGUUUGCUCCCCACGCUUUCGCACCUCAGUGUCAGUAUCAGUCCAGGUGGUCGCCUUCGCCACUGGUGUUCCUUCCUAUAUCUACGCAUUUCACCGCUACACAGGAAAUUCCACCACCCUCUACCGUACUCUAGCUCAGUAGUUUUGGAUGCAGUUCCCAGGUUGAGCCCGGGGAUUUCACAUCCAACUUGCUGAACCACCUACGCGCGCUUUACGCCCAGUAAUUCCGAUUAACGCUUGCACCCUUCGUAUUACCGCGGCUGCUGGCACGAAGUUAGCCGGUGCUUAUUCUGUUGGUAACGUCAAAACAGCAAGGUAUUAACUUACUGCCCUUCCUCCCAACUUAAAGUGCUUUACAAUCCGAAGACCUUCUUCACACACGCGGCAUGGCUGGAUCAGGCUUUCGCCCAUUGUCCAAUAUUCCCCACUGCUGCCUCCCGUAGGAGUCUGGACCGUGUCUCAGUUCCAGUGUGACUGAUCAUCCUCUCAGACCAGUUACGGAUCGUCGCCUUGGUAGGCCUUUACCCCACCAACUAGCUAAUCCGACCUAGGCUCAUCUGAUAGCGUGAGGUCCGAAGAUCCCCCACUUUCUCCCUCAGGACGUAUGCGGUAUUAGCGCCCGUUUCCGGACGUUAUCCCCCACUACCAGGCAGAUUCCUAGGCAUUACUCACCCGUCCGCCGCUGAAUCCAGGAGCAAGCUCCCUUCAUCCGCUCGACUUGCAUGUGUUAGGCCUGCCGCCAGCGUUCAAUCUGAGCCAGGAUCAAACCCUC